Molecule: transfer RNA, 75 nt
Filed under: Candidatus Portnoybacteria bacterium CG09_land_8_20_14_0_10_44_13
Lineage: Bacteria; Candidatus Portnoyibacteriota
Also listed under: 1 other name
Description: tRNA-Glu
Rfam family: tRNA
About the family: Transfer RNA (tRNA) molecules are approximately 80 nucleotides in length. Their secondary structure includes four short double-helical elements and three loops (D, anti-codon, and T loops).
Source: RNAcentral
GGCCCCAUCGUCUAGUGGUUAGGACAUCACGCUUUCAAUGUGACAACAGGGGUUCGAUUCCCCUUGGGGCUACAA